This 497-nucleotide ribosomal RNA is filed under the name uncultured bacterium. RNAcentral describes it as "partial 16S ribosomal RNA". It matches the Rfam family "Bacterial small subunit ribosomal RNA", at positions 28 to 507 of the family's 1533-position model. The record is from RNAcentral.
GAUGAACGCUGGCGGCGUGCCUAAUACAUGCAAGUCGAGCGAACAGACGAGGAGCUUGCUCCUCUGACGUUAGCGGCGGACGGGUGAGUAACACGUGGAUAACCUACCUAUAAGACUGGGAUAACUUCGGGAAACCGGAGCUAAUACCGGAUAAUAUAUUGAACCGCAUGGUUCAAUAGUGAAAGACGGUUUUGCUGUCACUUAUAGAUGGAUCCGCGCCGCAUUAGCUAGUUGGUAAGGUAACGGCUUACCAAGGCAACGAUGCGUAGCCGACCUGAGAGGGUGAUCGGCCACACGGGAACUGGGACGCGGUCCAGACUCCUACGGGAGGCAGCAGUAGGGAAUCUUCCGCAAUGGGCGAAAGCCUGACGGAGCAACGCCGCGUGAGUGAUGAAGGUCUUCGGAUCGUAAAACUCUGUUAUUAGGGAAGAACAAAUGUGUAAGUAACUAUGCACGUCUUGACGGUACCUAAUCAGAAAGCCACGGCUAACUACGUG